UAGUGGUGUCAUGGUCAUUAUUGACUGUUCGUAUGAACCCUGGAAUAACAUUGCAACUUGUGUGGGGUUCAUAUAACGGUCAACAGAAACCCUUGACAUCAAAGA
RNAcentral lists this microRNA precursor (105 nucleotides) under Medicago truncatula (barrel medic). RNAcentral describes it as "miRNA gene45372". The stretch from base 6 to 99 matches the Rfam family "MIR2587 microRNA precursor family". Lineage: Eukaryota; Viridiplantae; Streptophyta; Magnoliopsida; Fabales; Fabaceae. The record is from RNAcentral.